UUGUGCCCAUUGCUUUUUAACCUUGCAGUGGUGGUCUUCUGAGAACAGUCUGGACCCAUCUCUGUACUGCCCUUCAGGUAACUCCAGGCAGUAUUUAGAGACCUGAGCCUUCUCCAGGCGAGACUGCCUCAGGUCCUCACACUCUCCUCACACAUUGUGUGCCACCAUGAACUGAUUACACAUCAGCUGCAAGCAUAUGAAAAUGAUCAACUGCAAACAUAUGAAAAAAUACCAGAUGGCUUGUUUCUAUCUCUUGAAUGACAGUUGACAUGGAAGUAGGCAAAUGCUUUGGAUGCAGGUUGAGCACUGCCAGACAGAGAAGGCCACAAUGUCAGGAACAGAUUUGUGCAUGUGCUCAUGGAAGAAGCAUUUUUUGAGAAAUUUGGGGUGCAUUGUGACAGAGACCAAUGUGAAUUUGGGCAGAACGAGAUGGAAUAGACACAAAACUGCUGGCAGUCUAAAGGUUUGCUGUGAACAAGUUGUGAUCUGGUCCCUUGUCUACAACCUUAUUUAACCUCGCUGGAACAUUCAGUACUAUAGAAUUGGAAAUCCUGAACAUCCACCUAAGUGCUUUGCUUUGACCUGUUGGCCAAUCUGUCCUGCUCUUUGGAGACAUGAUUUGGUUGGGAUAUGCCACUGCCUCCAUCUGUCAGAUGUUUUCCUGUCAAGUCUCUCUGUGCUUUGCUUCCUCAACCACAUGGAACA
This is a non-coding RNA of Taeniopygia guttata (zebra finch), 705 nucleotides long. The record is from RefSeq and is a predicted model, not a curated record. Lineage: Eukaryota; Metazoa; Chordata; Aves; Passeriformes; Estrildidae.